This 657-nucleotide ribosomal RNA is filed under the name uncultured bacterium. RNAcentral describes it as "bacterial SSU rRNA". It matches the Rfam family "Bacterial small subunit ribosomal RNA", at positions 229 to 885 of the family's 1533-position model. The record is from RNAcentral.
CGUCGCGGCCUAUCAGCUUGUUGGCGGUGUAAUGGACCACCAAGGCGACGACGGGUAGCUGGUCUGAGAGGAUGGCCAGCCACAUUGGGACUGAGAGACGGCCCAGACUCCUACGGGAGGCAGCAGUGGGGAAUCUUGCGCAAUGGCCGAAAGGCUGACGCAGCGACGCCGCGUGUGGGAUGAAGCAUUUCGGUGUGUAAACCACUGUUGCCCGGGACGAAACCGCCUUUUCGAGGGCGUUGACGGUACCGGGUGAGGAAGCACCGGCUAACUCCGUGCCAGCAGCCGCGGUAAUACGGAGGGUGCGAGCGCUGUCCGGAAUCACUGGGCGUAAAGGGCGCGUAGGCGGUUGGAGAAGGCUGUGGUGAAAGUCCGGGGCUCAACCCCGGAUCGGCCGUGGCGACUCUCUGACUGGAGCACUGUAGAGGCGGGUGGAAUUCCGGGUGUAGCGGUGGAAUGCGUAGAGAUCCGGAAGAACACCGGUGGCGAAGGCGGCCCGCUGGGCAGUAGCUGACGCUGAGGCGCGACAGCGUGGGGAGCAAACAGGAUUAGAUACCCUGGUAGUCCACGCCGUAAACGAUGGGCACUAGGUGCUUGGGGGAGCGACCCUCCGAGUGUCGGCGCUAACGCAUUAAGUGCCCCGCCUGGGGAGUACGG